RNAcentral lists this ribosomal RNA (539 nucleotides) under Taenia serialis. RNAcentral describes it as "partial ribosomal RNA". Lineage: Eukaryota; Metazoa; Platyhelminthes; Cestoda; Cyclophyllidea; Taeniidae. The record is from RNAcentral.
AGCGGGUACUCACGACUGAUCCGAGGUCAGACACACAGACACAGGCACGCACACACACACACAGACCGACAGACAGGCACACACCCACCCACCCGGCAGUACUGCAGUACCACAGCGCCGCACUGCACUGCACUGCACUGCACUGCACUGAAUCAUCACAGUCCACUCCGCGUGCGCAACGCGCCCAACUUACACGCACACUGGGCCACGCCUUGUGAACUGCGGCUGGCUGGCCGGCUGCCUGACUCACUCACUACCUGCCAAUGGCUCUGCCACCACCACCACCAGCGCCGCCGCCAACAACAGCGCUCCAACUUGCGACCCGAAACGGCAAGGACGCAAGCAAGGGAAGCUAGGCGGAGCACAGCACAGCACAGCACAGCACAGCAAACGCGCUGACAGCCCUACCGCGCGCAACGCAUGACACGCACCGCGCCUUACCUUAGAGAGAAGCUGCACCACCACCAGCGGAACAGCGAUCUCCCAAGCCGCUGCCUAUUACGCACAGCGAUAGUUUACAAGCCGACGCUCGGACAGAC